This 966-nucleotide long non-coding RNA is filed under the name Triticum aestivum (bread wheat). Its description in RNAcentral is "long non-coding RNA (TAES_LNC006800)". Lineage: Eukaryota; Viridiplantae; Streptophyta; Magnoliopsida; Poales; Poaceae. The record is from RNAcentral.
GUAUGUGAAAGGAGGUGCAUGGGAGAAAAGAUGCCAGAGUUGCGUAGUGGAGUGUGAUAAUAUAUUCAAGUCAAGGAAAGUUGUGGUGACCAACACGAUUAUCCAUCACGUCCAGCGGGGACGCUGCAAGAAUCAUGGCCCCCAUGUGUGCUAUUGUCCAACACAGCCGCUGCCCUUUCACACUACCUCCACGCCGGUUGUGUUUUCCCUACAAGUACAUCUCGCUUCUCUCCUGCAAUAUUACUAGGCUGGAGAUGGGUGUCAUGGCUUCAGAGGCGUCAACAUUGACUGCAAAUACAUUCUGAAAAUUGAAUUGUUUGAAAUUCUUAGUAUAUGCAAUUCUGUAAAUUGUAUCUGUAUGUAUGUGAAGGUCUUUUCAAAAUGGAGCAGAAAGAAAAGAACAGAGCUUUUGAUUUAGCUUAGUAGAGAAAGACUGAAACACAUUUCAUUUAUAUCACAGGAAUGGAUGCCUUGGUGUCUGCAUUUUAUUCCGAGGAGAAAACACAUCCAGAGAAAAAACAAGAAUGAGUUGUCUAACUAGGUUAGCUAUCCACCUAUGUAUUUCUCUUUUUAUUCUAUGUAUUCAUUACUCAUUUCAGUUACUCUUCAUCUCUUAAAUUAUUAUAGAAACAAAUAUCUUUUUGGGCUGUUGUGUGCAAAUCAUAUUUGAAGUUUCCAUGCACAACGAGGACGAUUAUGUGCCUCUUUUAAGUCAUCCACGGUCAGAUUCAUUCUUGUCUUGGCUCUUACUUGGGCAAAAACUGGAAUAUCCUCUUUGGGAAUGAUGUUAGUCAGAAACUCAAUAUUAAUUUUGCACUUUAAGAAAGAGUCAAGUUUGUUAUGUAGCAUUAUAUUUGGCUCAGAUAGUUCUUGGAUGCCUUCCACGGGUCGAUGGGACGUUUUGCUCACCUUGCAAAAGUAAAGCAAUGAAGAAAUUUGUAAGGUGGGAACACUCGAAUCUCAGAG